This 497-nucleotide ribosomal RNA is filed under the name uncultured bacterium. Its description in RNAcentral is "partial 16S ribosomal RNA". It matches the Rfam family "Bacterial small subunit ribosomal RNA", at positions 30 to 523 of the family's 1533-position model. The record is from RNAcentral.
AUUGAACGCUGGCGGCAUGCCUUACACAUGCAAGUCGAACGGUAACAGGUCUUCGGAUGCUGACGAGUGGCGAACGGGUGAGUAAUACAUCGGAACGUGCCCGAUCGUGGGGGAUAACGAAGCGAAAGCUUUGCUAAUACCGCAUACGAUCUACGGAUGAAAGCAGGGGACCGCAAGGCCUUGCGCGAACGGAGCGGCCGAUGGCAGAUUAGGUAGUUGGUGGAUAAAAGGCUACCAAGCCGACGAUCUGUAGCUGGUCUGAGAGGACGACCAGCCACACUGGGACUGAGACACAGCCCAGACUCCUACGGGAGGCAGCAGUGGGGAAUUUUGGACAAUGGGCGAAAGCCUGAUCCAGCCAUGCCGCGUGCAGGAUGAAGGCCUUCGGGUUGUAAACUGCUUUUGUACGGAACGAAAAGACUCUGGUUAAUACCUGGGGUCCAUGACGGUACCGUAAGAAUAAGCACCGGCUAACUACGUGCCAGCCGCCGCGGUAA